RNAcentral lists this ribosomal RNA (465 nucleotides) under uncultured bacterium. RNAcentral's name for it is "partial 16S ribosomal RNA". It matches the Rfam family "Bacterial small subunit ribosomal RNA", at positions 28 to 507 of the family's 1533-position model. The record is from RNAcentral.
GACGAACGCUGGCGGCGUGCUUAACACAUGCAAGUCGAACGGAAAGGCCCUGCUUGCCGGGUACUCGAGUGGCGAACGGGUGAGUAACACGUGGGUGAUCUGCCCUGCACUUCGGGAUAAGCCUGGGAAACUGGGUCUAAUACCUGAUAGGAGCCAUUUUUAGUGUGAUGGUUGGAAAGUUUUUUCGGUGUAGGAUGGGCUCGCGGCCUAUCAGCUUGUUGGUGGGGUAAUGGCCUACCAAGGCGGCGACGGGUAGCCGGCCUGAGAGGGUGGACGGCCACAUUGGGACUGAGAUACGGCCCAGACUCCUACGGGAGGCAGCAGUGGGGAAUAUUGCACAAUGGGCGCAAGCCUGAUGCAGCGACGCCGCGUGGGGGAUGACGGCCUUCGGGUUGGAAACUCCUUUCGCUAGGGACGAAGCUUUUUGUGACGGUACCUAGAUAAGAAGCACCGGCUAACUACGUG